CCUACGGGGGGCAGCAGUGGGGAAUAUUGCGCAAUGGGCGAAAGCCUGACGCAGCGACGCCGCGUGAGGGAUGAAGGUCUUCUGAUCGGAAACCUCUGUCAGCAGGGAAGUACGGUCACUGUGCUAAUCAGCAGUGAAUUGACGGUACCUGCAAAGGAAGCACCGGCUAACUCCGUGCCAGCAGCCGCGGUAAUACGGAGGGUGCGAGCGUUAAUCGGAAUUACUGGGCGUAAAGCGCUCGUAGGCGGUAUGUCAAGUCAAGGGUGAAAUCCCCGGGCUCAACGUGGGAACUGCCUUUGAAACUGGCAAACUGGAGUGUGUGAGAGGUAAGUGGAAUUCCAGGUGUAGGAGUGAAAUCCGUAGAUAUCUGGAGGAACAUCAGUGGCGAAGGCGACUAUCUGGCACAUAACUGACGCUGAGGAGCGAAAGCGUGGGUAGCAAACAGGAUUAGAUACCCCAGUAGUC
This 465-nucleotide ribosomal RNA is filed under the name uncultured bacterium. Its description in RNAcentral is "partial 16S ribosomal RNA". It matches the Rfam family "Bacterial small subunit ribosomal RNA", at positions 338 to 795 of the family's 1533-position model. The record is from RNAcentral.